GCUGAUGAAGCUGAUAUGGUCCGUGUUUCAGACUCCUGGAUUGACGUACAGCAGCAUAUCCACUGA
This 66-nucleotide small nucleolar RNA is filed under the name Trypanosoma cruzi. RNAcentral's name for it is "C/D small nucleolar RNA (snoRNA), TB10C2C2". The record is from RNAcentral. Lineage: Eukaryota; Euglenozoa; Kinetoplastea; Trypanosomatida; Trypanosomatidae.